RNAcentral lists this ribosomal RNA (1208 nucleotides) under Pseudochlorella pringsheimii. Its description in RNAcentral is "partial large subunit ribosomal RNA". It matches the Rfam family "Eukaryotic large subunit ribosomal RNA", at positions 64 to 1295 of the family's 3401-position model. Lineage: Eukaryota; Viridiplantae; Chlorophyta; Trebouxiophyceae; Chlorellales; Chlorellaceae. The record is from RNAcentral.
ACUAACUAGGAUGCCCUUAGUAACGGCGAGCGAACCGGGCAAAGCCCAACUUGAAAAUCUCCAGCCUCUGGCUGGCGAAUUGUAGUCUAGAGAAGUGCUCUCUGCCUCAGCCUGUUCCCAAGUCCCCUGGAAAGGGGCGUCAGAGAGGGUGAGAACCCCGUUGGGAUCGGAUCCUGAGGCUCCACGAGACGCUUUCGAAGAGUCGGGUUGUUUGGGAAUGCAGCCCAAAGCAGGUGGUAAAUCCCAUCUAAGGCUAAAUACAGACGGGAGACCGAUAGCGAACAAGUACCGCGAGGGAAAGAUGAAAAGAACUUUGAAAAGAGAGUUAAAAAGUACUUGAAAUUGUUGAGAGGGAAGCGAUUGGAUCCUACGGGUGCGCCCAGGCACACGCCUGCCUAACGGUUGGCUGAAUGCGCUGGGUGCUGGUCAGCAUGGGUUGACCGGGCGGGACAAACCCGGGGGUUGUUACCCCGGCUAUGUCGCCUGGUCGACUGAGGAAUGAAGGGCGCUCUCUGAGUCCUCCGGGAACUGCGUCCUCAAGAUGCUGGCGGAAAGGUUCCAAUCGGCCCGUCUUGAAACACGGACCAAGGAGUCUAACAUGCAUGCGAGCUGGUGGGUGGCAAACCCAUGAAGCGCAAGUAACCUGACUGGUGGGAUGGCCUGUGCCUGCACCAUCGACCGACCAUGAUCUUCUGUGAAAGGUUCGAGUACGAGCAUGCCUGUUGGGACCCGAAAGAUGGUGAACUAUGCCUGAGCAGGGCGAAGCCAGAGGAAACUCUGGUGGAGGCUCGUAGAUGUGCUGACGUGCAAAUCGCUUUUCGGACUUGGGUAUAGGGGCGAAAGACUAAUCGAACCAUCUAGUAGCUGGUUCCCUCCGAAGUUUCCCCCAGGAUAGCUGGAGCUCAUUUCAGUCGACUCGGGUAAAGCGAAUGAUUAGGCGCUCAGGGGAUGAAACAUCCUCGACGCAUUCUCAAACUUUAAAUAGGGUCGUUGUCUGGGUUGCUUAAUUGAACCCAGGCCCUUAGAUGAGAGCUCCAAGUGGGCCAUUUUUGGUAAGCAGAACUGGCGAUGCGGGAUGAACCGAUAGCUGAGUUAAGGCGCCAAACUGCGCGCUAACCUAGAUCCCACAAAGGGUGUUGAUUGAUAUAGACAGCAGGACGGUGGUCAUGGAAGUCGAAAUCCGCUAAGGAGUGUGUAACAACUCACCU